This 28-nucleotide small RNA is filed under the name Bombyx mori (domestic silkworm). Its description in RNAcentral is "ovarian small RNA-34276". The record is from RNAcentral. Lineage: Eukaryota; Metazoa; Arthropoda; Insecta; Lepidoptera; Bombycidae.
UGCUUCAUUGCUGAAGGUCGGGUCCUUA